GCAGUAGCCGCGGGAAUACGGAGGGGGCUAGCGUUGUUCGGAAUUACUGGGCGUAAAGCGUACGUAGGCGGCUUUGUAAGUUAGAGGUGAAAGCCUGGUGCUCAACACCAGAACUGCCUUUAAGACUGCAUCGCUUGAACGUCGGAGAGGUGAGUGGAAUUCCGAGUGUAGAGGUGAAAUUCGUAGAUAUUCGGAAGAACACCAGUGGCGAAGGCGGCUCACUGGACGACUGUUGACGCUGAGGUACGAAAGCGUGGGGAGCAAACAGGAUUAGAUACCCCUGUAGUCCCUGUCUCUUAUAC
This 302-nucleotide ribosomal RNA is filed under the name uncultured bacterium. Its description in RNAcentral is "partial 16S ribosomal RNA". It matches the Rfam family "Bacterial small subunit ribosomal RNA", at positions 508 to 807 of the family's 1533-position model. The record is from RNAcentral.